ACUCCUACGGGAGGCAGCAGUGAGGAAUAUUGGUCAAUGGGCGCAAGCCUGAACCAGCCAUGCCGCGUGCAGGAAGACUGCCUUAUGGGUUGUAAACUGCUUUUAUAUGGGGAAAGAAACCCCUCUACGUAGUAGAGGCUUAGGUUAGCACGGGUAACCCAAUAAGAAAUAAGCACCGGCUAACUCCGUGCCAGCAGCCGCGGUAAUACGGAGGGUGCAAGCGUUAUCCGGAAUCAUUGGGUUUAAAGGGUCCGCAGGCGGUCAAUUAAGUCAGAGGUGAAAUCCUAUAGCUUAACUAUAGAACUGCCUUUGAUACUGGUUGACUU
Molecule: ribosomal RNA, 326 nt
Filed under: uncultured bacterium
Lineage: Bacteria
Description: bacterial SSU rRNA
Rfam family: Bacterial small subunit ribosomal RNA
Source: RNAcentral